Molecule: ribosomal RNA, 1430 nt
Filed under: metagenome
Description: bacterial SSU rRNA
Rfam family: Bacterial small subunit ribosomal RNA
Source: RNAcentral
AGAGUUUGAUCCUGGCUCAGGAUGAACGCUGGCGGCGUGCUUAACACAUGCAAGUCGAACGAUCCUUCGGGAUAGUGGCGGACGGGUGAGUAACGCGUGGGAAUCUGCCCUUAGGAGGGGGAUAACGGCUGGAUGCGGCCGCUAAUACCCCAUAUGCCGAGAGGUGAAACGAAUUUCGCCUGAGGAUGAGCCCGCGUCUGAUUAGCUAGUUGGUGGGGUAAAGGCCUACCAAGGCGACGAUCAGUAGCUGGUCUGAGAGGAUGAUCAGCCACACUGGGACUGAGACACGGCCCAGACUCCUACGGGAGGCAGCAGUGGGGAAUUUUCCGCAAUGGGCGAAAGCCUGACGGAGCAACGCCGCGUGAGGGAUGAAGGCCUCUGGGCUGUAAACCUCUUUUCUCAAGGAAGAAGAACUGACGGUACUUGAGGAAUAAGCCACGGCUAAUUCCGUGCCAGCAGCCGCGGUAAUACGGGAGAGGCAAGCGUUAUCCGGAAUUAUUGGGCGUAAAGCGUCCGCAGGCGGCCUUGUAAGUCUGUUGUUAAAGCGUGGAGCUCAACUCCAUUUAAGCAAUGGAAACUACAAGGCUGGAGUGUGGUAGGGGCAGAGGGAAUUCCCGGUGUAGCGGUGAAAUGCGUAGAUAUCGGGAAGAACACCAGUGGCGAAGGCGCUCUGCUGGGCCAUAACUGACGCUCAUGGACGAAAGCCAGGGGAGCGAAAGGGAUUAGAUACCCCUGUAGUCCUGGCCGUAAACGAUGAACACUAGGUGUCGGGGGAAUCGACCCCCUCGGUGUCGUAGCCAACGCGUUAAGUGUUCCGCCUGGGGAGUACGCACGCAAGUGUGAAACUCAAAGGAAUUGACGGGGGCCCGCACAAGCGGUGGAGUAUGUGGUUUAAUUCGAUGCAACGCGAAGAACCUUACCAGGGUUUGACAUCCUGCGAAUCCCUUGGAAACGAGGGAGUGCCUUCGGGAGCGCAGUGACAGGUGGUGCAUGGCUGUCGUCAGCUCGUGUCGUGAGAUGUUGGGUUAAGUCCCGCAACGAGCGCAACCCACGUCUUUAGUUGCCAGCAUUCAGUUGGGCACUCUAGAGAGACCGCCGGUGAUAAACCGGAGGAAGGUGUGGAUGACGUCAAGUCAUCAUGCCCCUUACAUCCUGGGCUACACACGUACUACAAUGCUACGGACAAAGGGCAGCAAGCUCGCGAGAGUUAGCAAAUCCCAUAAACCGUGGCUCAGUUCAGAUCGUAGGCUGCAACUCGCCUACGUGAAGGAGGAAUCGCUAGUAAUCGCAGGUCAGCAUACUGCGGUGAAUACGUUCCCGGGCCUUACACACCGCCCGUCACACCAUGGAAGUUGGCCAUGCCCGAAGUCGUUACUCCAACCCUUGUGGAGGAGGACGCCGAAGGUGGGGCUGAUGACUGGGGUGAAGUC